Molecule: ribosomal RNA, 489 nt
Filed under: uncultured bacterium
Lineage: Bacteria
Description: partial 16S ribosomal RNA
Rfam family: Bacterial small subunit ribosomal RNA
Source: RNAcentral
GAUGAACGCUAGCGGCAGGCUUAAUACAUGCAAGUCGUGGGGCAGCAGGACUGUAGCAAUACAGUUGCUGGCGACCGGCAAACGGGUGCGGAACACGUACGCAACUUACCCUGAACUGGGGGAUAGCCCGGGGAAACCCGGAUUAAUACCCCGUAAUAUAAUGGAGUGGCAUCACUUUAUUAUUAAAGCUCCGGCGGUUCGGGAUGGGCGUGCGGCUGGUUAGGUAGUUGGUUGAGGUAACGGCUCACCAAGCCUACGAACAGUAACUGCUGUGAGAGCACGACACGUCACACGGGAACUGCGGCACGGGCCCGACUCCGAUGGGAGGCAGCAGUAAGGAAUGUUGGGCAAUGGAGGCUGCUCUGACCCAGCCAUGCCGCGUGGGGAAUGAAUGCCCUCUGGGUUGUAAACUUCUUUUAAAGAGGAAGAAACCUGUGUAUUCUUACACAGUUGACGGUACCCUAGGAGUAAGCACCGGCUAACUCCGUG